RNAcentral lists this non-coding RNA (30 nucleotides) under Mus musculus (house mouse). The record is from RNAcentral. Lineage: Eukaryota; Metazoa; Chordata; Mammalia; Rodentia; Muridae.
UACAAGAAUUGCUGAAAACUGUCUGAGGGU